This 205-nucleotide unclassified non-coding RNA is filed under the name soil metagenome. RNAcentral's name for it is "partial contains 5.8S ribosomal RNA, internal transcribed spacer 2, and large subunit ribosomal RNA". The record is from RNAcentral.
AACACUGUUAACCUGCGGUACCUGCGGAAGGAUCAUUACUGAGUUGCAAAACUCCUACCAUUGUGAACCUACCUAGACUGUUGCUUCGGCGGGGGGCACUGCCCUGCUUUCCUCUGGGAAGCACCCGCCGGAGGCAUUUAAACUCUGUAUUAUUGGCCUCUCUGAGUAACUUAUUUAAUAAGUCACAACUUUCAACAAUGGAUCU